Molecule: ribosomal RNA, 376 nt
Filed under: uncultured bacterium
Lineage: Bacteria
Description: bacterial SSU rRNA
Rfam family: Bacterial small subunit ribosomal RNA
Source: RNAcentral
AUACGUAGGGGGCAAGCGUUGUCCGGAAUUAUUGGGCGUAAAGCGCGCGCAGGCGGUCAUUUAAGUCUGGUGUUUAAUCCCGGGGCUCAACUCCGGGUCGCACUGGAAACUGGGUGGCUUGAGUGCAGAAGAGGAGAGUGGAAUUCCACGUGUAGCGGUGAAAUGCGUAGAUAUGUGGAGGAACACCAGUGGCGAAGGCGACUCUCGGGGCUGUAACUGACGCUGAGGCGCGAAAGCGUGGGUAGCAAACAGGAUUAGAUACCCUGGUAGUCCACGCCGUAAACGAUGAAUGCUAGGUGUUAGGGGUUUCGAUACCCUUGGUGCCGAAGUAAAUACAUUAAGCAUUCCGCCUGGGGAGUACGGUCGCAAGACUGAA